UACGGAGGGUGCAAGCGUUGUCCGGAAUUACUGGGCGUAAAGCGCACGUAGGCGGCUUCUUAAGUCGGUGGUGAAAUCCUGGAGCUCAACUCCAGAACUGCCUUCGAUACUGGGAGCUCGAGUCCGGGAGAGGUGAGUGGAACUGCGAGUGUAGAGGUGAAAUUCGUAGAUAUUCGCAAGAACACCAGUGGCGAAGGCGGCUCACUGGCCCGGUACUGACGCUGAGGUGCGAAAGCGUGGGGAGCAAACAGGG
RNAcentral lists this ribosomal RNA (253 nucleotides) under uncultured bacterium. RNAcentral's name for it is "partial 16S ribosomal RNA". It matches the Rfam family "Bacterial small subunit ribosomal RNA", at positions 524 to 777 of the family's 1533-position model. The record is from RNAcentral.